CCUACGGGCGGCAGCAGUGAGGAAUAUUGGUCAAUGGGCGCAAGCCUGACCCAGCAACGUCGCGUGAAGGAAGAAGGCUCUCGGGUUGUAAACUUCUUUUCUGAGGGACGAAGAAAGUGACGGUACCUCAGGAAUAAGCCACGGCUAACUACGUGCCAGCAGCCGCGGUAAUACGUAGGUGGCAAGCGUUAUCCGGAUUUAUUGGGUGUAAAGGGCGUGUAGGCGGGAAAGCAAGUCAGAUGUGAAAACUCAGGUCUCAACCCUGAGCCUGCAUUUGAAACUGUUUUUCUUGAGUGCUGGAGAGGCAAUCGGAAUUCCGGGUGUAGCGGUGAAAUGCGUAGAUAUACGGAAGAACACCAGUGGCGAAGGCAGAUUGCUGGACAGUAACUGACGCUGAGGCGCGAAAGCGUGGGGAGCGAACAGGAUUAGAUACCCGUGUAGUC
This 443-nucleotide ribosomal RNA is filed under the name uncultured bacterium. Its description in RNAcentral is "partial 16S ribosomal RNA". It matches the Rfam family "Bacterial small subunit ribosomal RNA", at positions 338 to 795 of the family's 1533-position model. The record is from RNAcentral.